AGUCGAGCGGGGAUGAGGUGCUUGCACCUUAUCUUAGCGGCGGACGGGUGAGUAAUGCUUAGGAAUCUGCCUAUUAGUGGGGGACAACAUUCCGAAAGGAAUGCUAAUACCGCAUACGUCCUACGGGAGAAAGCAGGGGAUCUUCGGACCUUGCGCUAAUAGAUGAGCCUAAGUCGGAUUAGCUAGUUGGUGGGGUAAAGGCCUACCAAGGCGACGAUCUGUAGCGGGUCUGAGAGGAUGAUCCGCCACACUGGGACUGAGACACGGCCCAGACUCCUACGGGAGGCAGCAGUGGGGAAUAUUGGACAAUGGGGGGAACCCUGAUCCAGCCAUGCCGCGUGUGUGAAGAAGGCCUUAUGGUUGUAAAGCACUUUAAGCGAGGAGGAGGCUACUGAGACUAAUACUCUUGGAUAGUGGACGUUACUCGCAGAAUAAGCACCGGCUAACUCUGUGCCAGCAGCCGCGGUAAUACAGAGGGUGCGAGCGUUAAUCGGAUUUACUGGGCGUAAAGCGUGCGUAGGCGGCUUUUUAAGUCGGAUGUGAAAUCCCCGAGCUUAACUUGGGAAUUGCAUUCGAUACUGGGAAGCUAGAGUAUGGGAGAGGAUGGUAGAAUUCCAGGUGUAGCGGUGAAAUGCGUAGAGAUCUGGAGGAAUACCGAUGGCGAAGGCAGCCAUCUGGCCUAAUACUGACGCUGAGGUACGAAGGCAUGGGGAGCAAACAGGAUUAGAUACCCUGGUAGUCCAUGCCGUAAACGAUGUCUACUAGCCGUUGGGGCCUUUGAGGCUUUAGUGG
RNAcentral lists this ribosomal RNA (792 nucleotides) under uncultured bacterium. RNAcentral's name for it is "bacterial SSU rRNA". It matches the Rfam family "Bacterial small subunit ribosomal RNA", at positions 60 to 846 of the family's 1533-position model. The record is from RNAcentral.